CAGUUGCCUGCGUGAGGGAUUGAAGUGGGGCUUUUUUUUGAGGCGUUUUUCAGCCUCAAAAAAAGCGGGAACGAAAAACCCGACCCGUA
RNAcentral lists this small RNA (89 nucleotides) under Flavobacterium sp. 5. Its description in RNAcentral is "Flavo-1 RNA". It matches the Rfam family "Flavo-1 RNA". Lineage: Bacteria; Pseudomonadati; Bacteroidota; Flavobacteriia; Flavobacteriales; Flavobacteriaceae. The record is from RNAcentral.